This 1683-nucleotide long non-coding RNA is filed under the name Triticum aestivum (bread wheat). RNAcentral describes it as "long non-coding RNA (TAES_LNC022421)". The record is from RNAcentral. Lineage: Eukaryota; Viridiplantae; Streptophyta; Magnoliopsida; Poales; Poaceae.
CCGCUGUUUAAGCCACUCCUAAAUCAAUUUUCGUAUGGGCAAAACAUGCCAGGGACCCUAUAUGGCAAGAUUAAUAUCUUUUCUUGAUUUCUUUUGUUGCUGCUCUGCCACAAUCUCCUGAUUAAGGAAGUACCUUGCCAAGCUGGCAUGUCCUGGCCGUUGUAGGUAAGAGAAUUGACUUCUGAUGAACUUUCUUCUUCUUAUCCUCUUUCAGUUAGAUAGUUAUAUUGUGAAACACUUGACAACGAAGCUCUCUGUCAACUAUUAGAGUAUUGACGGUUUCUGUCAUAAUCUGAGUGUUUUUGCGGGCAAUUGUUUUUUAAAAGCAAUGGCAUGUGACAACUACUAAAGCAUUGAGUGUCAUUGCUGUUGCACUUUCUAUAAGUAUGGGGAUUGAUUUUCUGUCAAUUCUGCGUUACAACUUACGACUGACAACUACUAAAUUUCAAUGCCCUUUUUGACAAUUUUAGGUUAAAUAGAAUGGCGUGUGAAAUAAUUGGUGCUAUCAACUAGGACUAAUCAUGUCAUUGUUGGGUAAUGUAGCAGUUAUGCUCUGCAUUGAUAUUAAAGUCAACACAAAGGAACUCUCACAUAUGUUUUCUUUGUUUCCAACUGGGAAAUAAUGUGUGCGUACAUACCCACUGGAAUGUUACCCGCGCUCCAUACUCGGCUCCGGUGAUAUAGUUUAACGGCAAGACACACUUAUCUAACAAAGUGCUCACAACUUCCCAGCAAAUGCUGCUCAUUGAGUGCCUCCUCCAUUCAAUGAGGAAAAGUUAACUGCUUGAGAAAAAGAAGCUGUGAGUUCCCCACAUCUACUGAACAUCGUUUUGGUUACUUCGUUUCUCUUCCUGCAGUUUUUGCAUGGGCUGCGGAUGUGAUGCUUUGUAUGGGAACAAGACUGAUAUGAUUUGGGUUUGCUGCAUGUACAUUCGACUUAGUUGUACUCGGGAAUGUUUAAGAAAGUAAUUUGCAACAACGUGGAUGUCAGAUUUAUCAACUACUGUCACUCUUGGUUUUGAAGGAUUUGAUUAUGGGAGUUUUAGUAUGCCCUGACCAAGUACAAUAGAUGUAGACACCAUUGUCGCUUCCUUAUUUGUAUGUGAUUCAGAUAUUUUAAAACCUUAUUUGUACCAUUGAAUUAUGUUUUUUUUUCUGUGGGAAUACCAUUGAAUUAUGUUGUUAUGUAGGUUGCCCGAUAUGUUCAUCGAUGCUGUGGACAACGAUUUUUAUUAUCGUUUCCCAUAUUUAUCUAAUUAGGUUUGCAAUUACACUUUGUUUUAUUUAUCAUCUGUAUCUAGAAAAUCAGAUUGUGAAGCUUAUAAUUUAUUAGUUUUUCUGUGAUUUCCCUUUAUUUUGCUGAUAGUCCACUACUCAGGAUUAUAAGAGCCACCAUCUUUGUGAGCAUUUUAACUUCAGGUGUUCCAAGGUGUUAGUAUGGUUCUACAGAGAAAGCUGCACAACAUGCCUAAUUUUGUACUUACCUUGCAGUUCUGUAGAUCUACUACAAUUAUAUGAUGUCCUCAAAUUAGACCUUUGCAAGCAUCACAAUAUAUCAGUCUAUAUAUGUAGCGCACCUUUGGUUCAAUCAUACAUUCAUAGUAGUUUGAUGUACUACGUUUUGGUUGGCAGAGAGGAUUCUGAUGGUGACGCAUGACUCACUGUAUUUUGUUUUGUUUUCAG